Molecule: ribosomal RNA, 251 nt
Filed under: uncultured prokaryote
Description: partial 16S rRNA
Rfam family: Bacterial small subunit ribosomal RNA
Source: RNAcentral
ACGGAGGGUGCAAGCGUUAUUCGGAAUUAUUAGGUGUAAAGCGCGUGUAGGCGGAUGGGUAAGUUAGAUGUUAAAGGUCUGGGCUUAACCGGGAAAGGGCGUGUAAAACUGUGUGGCUUGAGUCUCGUAGAGGAAGGUGGAAUUCCCAGUGUAGAGGUGAAAUGCGUAGAUAUUGGGAUGAACACCGGUGGCGAAGGCAUCCUUCUGAGCGCAGACUCACGCUCAGACGCGAAAACGUGGGGAGCAAACAG